AUAAAAUUUGAAUACAUAAUUUCCCUUUAGAAUGCCUUGUAUGGAUGAGAGAAGCACUCACUCUAUAGAAAUGUUUGUUAGGAUGAAUAUUAAAACACUAACAUUUGCAUAUACAUUCCCAAUAAAAUUUUGUUCCUAAACUUGAACCUUGAUUUGAUAAUCUCAAUUAAUUACUUAAAUAAAAUUGGAAUGCUGAAGUCUGUCAGUUUUGUGGACCCUGAUAACCUCUUUGGAAACCAGUGGCCUCUGAUAAGGAAGGGACAGCAAACUGUAGA
Molecule: non-coding RNA, 275 nt
Organism: Pelobates cultripes (western spadefoot toad)
Lineage: Eukaryota; Metazoa; Chordata; Amphibia; Anura; Pelobatidae
Source: the annotation of a GenBank genome assembly